CGGGAUGUUGUGAGUCCGUUGCUGGUCCAUCUGAUUUGUCCUGGCUCGGAGAGUACUAUCAGGGAAGCAAGGACGAGGAAUGAGCCGGGGUCGGGUGAGUAACACGUGGGCAACCUGCCUGUAAGAUUGGGAUAACCCCGGGAAACCGGGGCUAAUACCGGAUAAUACUUUUCGUUGCAUAACGAGAAGUUGAAAGGCGGCUUUUAGCUGUCACUUACAGUUGGGCCCGCGGCGCAUUAGCUAGUUGGUAAGGUAACGGCUUACCAAGGCGACGAUGCGUAGCCGACCUGAGAGGGUGAUCGGCCACACUGGGACUGAGACACGGCCCAGACUCCUACGGGAGGCAGCAGUAGGGAAUCUUCCGCAAUGGACGAAAGUCUGACGGAGCAACGCCGCGUGAGUGAUGAAGGUUUUCGGAUCGUAAAACUCUGUUGUCAGGGAAGAACAAGUGCCGUUCAAAUAGGGCGGCACCUUGACGGUACCUGACCAGAAAC
Molecule: ribosomal RNA, 494 nt
Filed under: Bacillaceae bacterium EA2.1
Lineage: Bacteria; Bacillati; Bacillota; Bacilli; Caryophanales; Bacillaceae
Description: bacterial SSU rRNA
Rfam family: Bacterial small subunit ribosomal RNA
Source: RNAcentral